Molecule: long non-coding RNA, 297 nt
Organism: Oncorhynchus keta (chum salmon)
Lineage: Eukaryota; Metazoa; Chordata; Actinopteri; Salmoniformes; Salmonidae
Exons: 3
Source: RefSeq, a predicted model, not a curated record
GGUAGGUGUUGCUUUCAUUGGAUACAACUUUGGACCAGGCCCCACAGGUCUCUUUGGACCAGGCCCCACAGGUCUCUUUGGACCAGGCCCCACAGGUCUCUUUGGACCAGGCCCCACAGGUCUCUUUGGACCAGGCCCCACAGGUCUCUUUGGACCAGGCCCCACAGGUCUCUUUGGACCAGGCCCCACAGGUCUCUUUGGACCAGGCCCCACAGGUCUCUUUGGACCAGGCCCCACAGGUCUCUUUGGACCAGGCCCCACAGGUCUCUUUGGACCAGGCCCCACAGGUCUCUUUGG